This is a long non-coding RNA of Dalotia coriaria, 1449 nucleotides long. RefSeq lists it as uncharacterized. NCBI's taxonomy places the organism in Eukaryota, Metazoa, Arthropoda, Insecta, Coleoptera, Staphylinidae. The record is from RefSeq and is a predicted model, not a curated record. The transcript is spliced from 3 exons.
GGAUAUUGCACCUGAGUGCGACAUCGGAGGAUGACCAUUCUUGCAUCAGAUUGUGUUCUGCACCCAAAGUCGACAUCGUAGCAGAACCAUUCUUGCAGCAGAUUGUAUUCUGCACCCGAGCCCGAAAUCGUAGGAGAACCAUUCUUGCAUCAGAUUGUAAGUAGAUAAUUUCUUUAUCAUUUUCAUACAUAACUUUUAUGAUUUUGCUUGUUUUCGGGGUUUAGCACAUGAAUGCGGCAUCCGCGUAAUAUCAGCGAGGUCCCUAAAGAUGUAAAAUUUAUUUCUUCAUGGCGUAUAAAUUGUACGUUUCGUACGUUAUGUCCAUAACUUGUAACUGUUUGUUUACAUUUAGUUAUUUUGAAUAGUUUUAGGAUUAUAUAUAACAUGGAUAGUGUUUUAUUAAUUUUCGUUCAAGUGAGUGAGAUAGAAAUAUCAGGAUGUGGUGAUAGCAGGUGAGUUAGAAUAAGACAGCAAUACUGAAGUUUCAUGUUCACUCCAUGUUUUUUAUAUGAUCUGCCGAAUUUUCUACACUUUAUUUAUGUUGUCAAUUCGACCUUGGCAUGCGCAGCACGCUGUGCGCUGCCAUUUGAAAUUUGAACAGUACCGCACCGGUCGCCGUGUGUCGUCGGCUAUUCGCUAUACUGCUCAGUACAUCUUGCGCUGGCGUGUUGGCCAGUGUUGGCUGUUGUUUUUUCCUGUUUAGUCAGUCGGUAGUACGCAUUUGUGGUGUGUGCACGUGUUCUCCUCCUUCUCCGCCACUGUUCGUCGCAACUGUUAGUAUUUCGGGCGAUUUUAAUACGGUGCGAGCCUUAUAAUUGUUUAGUCGUCGAUUGCUAUCAACUAAUGAACAAGUAAUUUAUAAAAUAUAUUUAUUAAAAUAGUUUUGUGAUUUUCUUGGAUUUUACAAUUUUGUAUGCGAGUUUUACAUGUUUCGCCCUGUGGGCAUCAUCAGAAACUGAUGCAUAGAAAAUUGUAAAAUCCAAGAAAAUCACAAAAUUAUUUUAAUAAAUAUAUUUUAUAAAUUACUACCAUGGAUUACGUAUUCAACUUAGAAAAUAAUAAAAAAAAUAUAAUGAACAAGUGAUUUAUCUCGAAUCGACUCGAAACUUAAGACACCACGUGCGCGUGUGUAAGCCAUCAGCCGUCGGAUCUCUUACGUUAGGCUACGGAUUCCAAUUGGAUUUAUAGGCCAAAAUGGUAUUGUUAAUUAGACGCGAUAAAUAACGCGUUCUCUCCGUGUGGUAUAGUUGUUACUGCAAAAAUAAUACAGUGAUUAGUAACAUCAAUUCUACUAACAAUUCUACUUUAUGUGAAACGUUUGAUAAGAGAGCGUUGUGGCUCGAUGGUACGGCAUAUCCUGCCUUGGAUCGUACAUACGUUCGUUUUAUUAAAAUAAGAAAAAGGAAUGUAUGUUAAAUAUAAUCAAUAAAACUCAAUUUAAAAUUAAAA